Chloropicon primus is the source of this 79-nucleotide non-coding RNA. The record is from the annotation of a GenBank genome assembly. Lineage: Eukaryota; Viridiplantae; Chlorophyta; Chloropicophyceae; Chloropicales; Chloropicaceae.
AUUUCGUCCGAUCUAUGUAGUUUGGUAGAGCGCCAGACUUUUAAUCUGGUGGUCGUGGGUUCGAGCCCCACAUGCGGUG